AUGACGGAAGUGGCGUUAGCUAGUGCUGGCUUAAGAUUGGCUGCAUCGCCAGUCCUGAAGAAGCUCCUUGCUAAUGCUUCAACAUUCCUUGGAGUGGACAUGGGGCGUGAGCUCCAUGAACUGGAGACCACUAUCUUGCCACAGUUCGAGCUGGUGAUUGAAGCAGCAAACAAGGGAAACCACAUGACUAGGUUGGAAAAAUGGCUUCAGGAACUCAAAGACGCCUUCUACAUGGCUGAAGACUUGCUGGAUGAGCACGAGUACAACCUCCUCAAGCGCAAAGCAAACGGGAAGGAUUCCUUGCCUGGCAAUGCCUCCUCCAUCAGCAGCACUUUUAUGAAGCCUUUACGUGCUGCGUCGAGCAGGCUGUCCAAUCUGAGCUCUGAGAACAUAAAGCAAAUUAGCCAGCUGAAUGAACUGAGGGCUACACUGGCGAAAGCCAAGGAAUUCCAUGAACUGCUCUGCUUACCAGCUAGUUGUGAUCCAGAGAGCCCCACAAUACCAUCAGCUGUUGUUCCCGAGACCACAUCACUACCACCUCUGAAAGUGAUUGGUCGUGAUAAGGAUUGCAAUCAUAUAAUACAUUGUCUUACCAAGACAACUGCUACUACAGAGUGUAGUAUAGCUAUGGACUUAAGUUUGGCCAUUGUUGGAGCUGGAGGCAUGGGAAAGUCCACCUUGGCGCGGCUUGUUUACAAUUGCAAGAGGGUAAAAGAAUAUUUUGAUGUGACAAUGUGGGUAAGCAUCUCACGGAAACUUGAUGUCCGCCGUCAUACGCGGGAGAUUAUAGAGUCUGCCUCUCAGGGGGGAUGUCCUCAAAUUGAUAACCUUGAUACUCUACAGCGCAAGUUGACCGACAUUCUACAAGAAUCCAGAAAAUUCCUGCUUGUGUUGGAUGAUGUUUGGUUUGAACCUGGCAGUGAGAGGGAAUGGGACCAACUGUUGGCUCCUCUAGCUUCCCAACAGACGGGAAGUAAAGUUUUGGUAACUUCUCAACGGGAUAUAUUUCCAGCUGCUCUUUGCUGUGAAGAAGUGUUUCCUCUGCAAAAGAUGGAAGAUGCUCAGUUCUUGGCACUCUUCAAGCACCAUGCAUUCUCUGGACCAAAAACUGGAAAUCCAAAGUUGCAUGAAAGGUUGGAAGAUUUUGCAAAGAAGAUCACUAAAAGACUUGGACAAUCUCCUUUGGCAGCAAAAGUUGUGGGCUCUCAGUUAAAAGGGAAGACAGAUAUCACCGCAUGGAAGGAUGCUCUAACUAUGAAGGUUGACAAAUUAAGUGAGCCCAUGAGAGCUCUGUUGUGGAGUUAUGAGAAGUUAGAUCCAUGUCUGCAGAGGUGCUUCCUAUAUUGCAGCUUGUUUCCAAAAGGCUACAAAUAUGGCAUUGAUGAUUUGGUUCAUCUUUGGAUGGCUGAGGGCCUUGUUGAUUCACGCAACCAAACCAAAAGAAUGGAAGAUGUUGGGAGUGAUUGCUUCAAGGAGAUGAUCUCUGCUUCAUUCUUUCAACCAGUUAAUGAGGAAAACACUUCCACGUACUAUGUAAUGCAUGAUCUCCUUCAUGAUCUGGCAGAAUUACUCUCCAAAGAAGACUACUUCAGACUGGAAGAUGAUAAGGUACUUCUAUUAAAUGGAAAAGCUGACAGUUUUCCUGAGAAACUCUGCAAUUUAACAAAGCUGCGGCAUCUUCAAUGGUCAUACAACGAAGGAGUGCCUCAAAUUCCAAACAUUGGGAAGCUAACUUCGCUCCAACAAUUUGAUAAUUUUUCUGUGCAAAAGAAAAAGGGAUAUGAGUUGCAACAGUUGAGGGACAUGAACGAGAUUCGUGGCAGUUUAUGUGUGAAAAAUCUUGAGAAUGUCACUGGGAAGGAUGAAGCCUUAGAAUCAAAGUUGCACCAGAAAAGUCAUCUUGGCAGCUUACUACUUCUCUGGAGUUUCAAAAAUAACACAAAUGCAGAGGAUAGUUUACAUUUGGCGGUUCUAGAAGGCUUGAUGCCACCACCUCAACUUGAGGAUCUUACAAUUAGCGGUUAUAAAUCUUCAAAAUAUCCAGGCUGGUUACUUGAUGGUUCAUAUUUUGAGAAUUUGGUAUCAUUAUUCUUUGAAAAUUGCAGUCUAGUACAAAGCCUACCAUCCAGUACUGAGUUAUUUAGGAAUUGCUCUGCACUUUACCUCGAUAAUAUGCCAAACCUGAAGGCAUUACCUUGCCUUCCACUAGGACUUGAAGAGUUAUCAAUAUACAAUUGUCCACUGCUUCUAUUUAUAUACAAUGAUGAGCUGAAACAUCAUGAUCAGAGAGAGAAAAUCAUUAAGACUGACCACUUGGCCUCACAACUUAGUUUAAUAUGGGAGGCGGAUUCAGGAUCAGAUAUUAGGAGUGUACUCUCAUCAGAACAUUCACUUUUGAUGCAUAUUGAUAUGUCACAUGUUCAAAACCUUGAAAGUGCUCUAGAAAGGGAGAAAGAUGAAGUAUCGAUAAAAGAGGAUAUCAUCAAGGCAUGGAUAUACCGUCAUGAGCAUAUGAUGAGACUCAUGUAUGAAAGGAGCAUUGGACUGCCGCUGGUUCCACCGUCAGGACUUCGUCAACUUACUCUUUCUUCAUGCAGUAUUACAGAUGAAGCUUUAGCUGUUUGCCUUGAUGGCCUGGCUUCACUGCAAAUAUUGAUCCUUUCAAAGAUUAUGACAUUAACUACACUUCCUUCAAAAGAGAUCCUCCAACGUUUGACAAAACUUAACUUCUUGCAAGUCGGAUAUUGCUGGUGCCUCUGGUCAUUAGGGGGCUUACGAGUUGUUACCUCUGUUUCAGCUGUUGAAUUGUUUUCCUGCCCUUCUUUAGGGUUGGCACAUGGAGCCGAAUGUUUGCCAUUAUCCCUUGAGAGCCUUGCUAUAAAGAAUUGCGUGCUUGCAGCUGACUUCCUCUGUACUGACUGGCCACACAUGAAGAAUAUUCACAUAGCCAAUUGCAGAACCACCUCAUGCAUUUCUGUUGGUAGUCUCACCUCUGUUAAAUCACUCUCACUGCUUCACUUGCCAGAUUUAUGUACGCUUGAGGGAUUGUCUUCCCUACUGCAACUUUCCAGCGUACGUUUGAUUGAUGUUCCAAAACUCACCCUCGAGUGUGUCUCACAGUUUCGAGUCCAGCGCACACUCGAUGUUAGCAGUCCUGUAAUACUGAACACCAUGCUCUCGGCUGAUGGUCUCACAGUUACAACAAUCACUCUUACAAGAUGCAAGGAACCAUUCAUUUCAUUAGAAGAAUCAGCAAAUUUCACAUCUGUCAUGGACCUGGGUUUCAUUGAUUGUCAAAUGAUUUCCCUGCCAACAAAUCUGAAGUCUUUCUCCAAUCUGAAGACGCUUGACAUCUUUAGUUUCGUUAAAGAUAGUUUUUGCACGCACCCUGCAAAGUGGGAAAGGUACCAGUGCAUAUUAUAUUAUGAACCAGUGCCAAAUCUAGAGUAUUCUACGGAAGAGUCAGAGUACGAGUACGAGGAAGAAGAGUCAGAGUACGGGGAAGAAGAACCAGAUCAUUAUGAAGAAAAGCCAUCACCAAUUCACCAGGCGAGAUUGGGUGGCCUGGGCUCAGAAGAAGCAUCUCCAUAUGAUCUUAGUAGAAAAGGGAGGAAAUAUGUUGCAUUUGAGGGGAUAAGCACUGGUAGGAGGUUCAUUGCCUGUGCCACUGAAGGUGUUGCAAAUUGUGGAUUAGUGCAGUGGGUAGAUGAGCAUUGGCCAGAGCAUCUGCAGAAUGCUAUUCAUAAGAUGUGGCUUAUGAAUGGUAUCCAUCACAGUUUGGAGGUAAUCCCUUAUCCUAGUGUAUUGUGCCCUCUGAUCUCCUUGGACAACUUCCUUAGCUGCUUUCCUUGCCCUGUAGGCCAUGUGAAUGGACACUUCAAUUCCAUUGACUUUGGUGCUCUCUCCAACAGCAGGACAGUUGUGGUAUAA
RNAcentral lists this ribosomal RNA (3930 nucleotides) under Triticum aestivum (bread wheat). RNAcentral describes it as "partial small subunit ribosomal RNA". Lineage: Eukaryota; Viridiplantae; Streptophyta; Magnoliopsida; Poales; Poaceae. The record is from RNAcentral.